This 1552-nucleotide ribosomal RNA is filed under the name Staphylococcus aureus. RNAcentral describes it as "16S ribosomal RNA". It matches the Rfam family "Bacterial small subunit ribosomal RNA". Lineage: Bacteria; Bacillati; Bacillota; Bacilli; Caryophanales; Staphylococcaceae. The record is from RNAcentral.
UUUAUGGAGAGUUUGAUCCUGGCUCAGGAUGAACGCUGGCGGCGUGCCUAAUACAUGCAAGUCGAGCGAACGGACGAGAAGCUUGCUUCUCUGAUGUUAGCGGCGGACGGGUGAGUAACACGUGGAUAACCUACCUAUAAGACUGGGAUAACUUCGGGAAACCGGAGCUAAUACCGGAUAAUAUUUUGAACCGCAUGGUUCAAAAGUGAAAGACGGUCUUGCUGUCACUUAUAGAUGGAUCCGCGCUGCAUUAGCUAGUUGGUAAGGUAACGGCUUACCAAGGCAACGAUGCAUAGCCGACCUGAGAGGGUGAUCGGCCACACUGGAACUGAGACACGGUCCAGACUCCUACGGGAGGCAGCAGUAGGGAAUCUUCCGCAAUGGGCGAAAGCCUGACGGAGCAACGCCGCGUGAGUGAUGAAGGUCUUCGGAUCGUAAAACUCUGUUAUUAGGGAAGAACAUAUGUGUAAGUAACUGUGCACAUCUUGACGGUACCUAAUCAGAAAGCCACGGCUAACUACGUGCCAGCAGCCGCGGUAAUACGUAGGUGGCAAGCGUUAUCCGGAAUUAUUGGGCGUAAAGCGCGCGUAGGCGGUUUUUUAAGUCUGAUGUGAAAGCCCACGGCUCAACCGUGGAGGGUCAUUGGAAACUGGAAAACUUGAGUGCAGAAGAGGAAAGUGGAAUUCCAUGUGUAGCGGUGAAAUGCGCAGAGAUAUGGAGGAACACCAGUGGCGAAGGCGACUUUCUGGUCUGUAACUGACGCUGAUGUGCGAAAGCGUGGGGAUCAAACAGGAUUAGAUACCCUGGUAGUCCACGCCGUAAACGAUGAGUGCUAAGUGUUAGGGGGUUUCCGCCCCUUAGUGCUGCAGCUAACGCAUUAAGCACUCCGCCUGGGGAGUACGACCGCAAGGUUGAAACUCAAAGGAAUUGACGGGGACCCGCACAAGCGGUGGAGCAUGUGGUUUAAUUCGAAGCAACGCGAAGAACCUUACCAAAUCUUGACAUCCUUUGACAACUCUAGAGAUAGAGCCUUCCCCUUCGGGGGACAAAGUGACAGGUGGUGCAUGGUUGUCGUCAGCUCGUGUCGUGAGAUGUUGGGUUAAGUCCCGCAACGAGCGCAACCCUUAAGCUUAGUUGCCAUCAUUAAGUUGGGCACUCUAAGUUGACUGCCGGUGACAAACCGGAGGAAGGUGGGGAUGACGUCAAAUCAUCAUGCCCCUUAUGAUUUGGGCUACACACGUGCUACAAUGGACAAUACAAAGGGCAGCGAAACCGCGAGGUCAAGCAAAUCCCAUAAAGUUGUUCUCAGUUCGGAUUGUAGUCUGCAACUCGACUACAUGAAGCUGGAAUCGCUAGUAAUCGUAGAUCAGCAUGCUACGGUGAAUACGUUCCCGGGUCUUGUACACACCGCCCGUCACACCACGAGAGUUUGUAACACCCGAAGCCGGUGGAGUAAUCUUUUAGGAGCUAGCCGUCGAAGGUGGGACAAAUGAUUGGGGUGAAGUCGUAACAAGGUAGCCGUAUCGGAAGGUGCGGCUGGAUCACCUCCUUU